Molecule: unclassified non-coding RNA, 348 nt
Filed under: soil metagenome
Description: partial contains 5.8S ribosomal RNA, internal transcribed spacer 2, and large subunit ribosomal RNA
Rfam family: 5.8S ribosomal RNA (bases 1-119)
Source: RNAcentral
GAUGAAGACGUAGCGAAAUGCGAUAAGUAAUGUGAAUUGCAGAAUUCAGUGAAUCAUCGAAUCUUUGAACGCACAUUGCGCCCGCCAGUAUUCUGGCGGGCAUGCCUGUCCGAGCGUCAUUUCAACCCUCGAACCCCUCCGGGGGGUCGGCGUUGGGGAUCGGCCCUUUACCGGCCGGCCCCGAAAUACAGUGGCGGUCUCGCCGCAGCCUCUCCUGCGCAGUAGUUUGCACACUCGCACCGGGAGCGCGGCGCAGUCCAAUGCCGUAAAACACCCAACUUUCUGAAAUGUUGACCUCGGAUCAGGUAGGAAUACCCGCUGAACUUAAGCAUAUCAAUAAGCGGAGGA